GUGGCGUUAGAAACUGUAGUAUACGAGCCGUCUGUGAAUCUGUGACCAAUGAAAUCUGUUACUUGGGAUAAUAUGUUUUGUGUCGGGCUUCGUCGUGCUUUCUGCUGCUGGAUGUCAAGAAAUUACUUAGCUUUUAAGAACGUGUCCACCAUGGACGUUUUACAACCAGGCCACCGAAUAUGGAUUAAGUUUCAUGCUUCGUAAAUUGAUAAAUGAUAACACUUUUUUUUUUUUUACAGAUUGUAUCACAUAUAGAUCCCGUGGUCCGUGCCAUAUGGUCUGCAGUUUUAUCUCGUGGUGUUUGUUGCAUCAAGCCAUUUGAGAUUAAAAGCUGUAAGCUGUGGAUAAAAUUUAUUCCUAACAAAGUACUGGAUGAUAAAUGUGCAUUCAAAGACUGGAUUUCUAUACCUCAAUGACUUCUCCCAAAAUAUUAUGAUGAAAAAUAACUUUAAAAGUUUUCCUAUUGAACCCACAGUUUGAAAAGUGGAACCUGUUGCAAUUAAUCUUAUUUCCAACAAAAUAGUUCAUUGUUGUAGAUUUCUACUAUACUCAAGAUAUGGUUAAAUUGAUUGCUGACCCUGUUUUCCUCCUUGAGCAUUCAAAACUACUUAUGGUAUCAAUUUGGGAGUCUUAUCAGUUCCUUUUAUAACCAUCAUCUAAUCCAGGUUGGUUAAAAGUCUAGCAUAAGAAAUACUAUUAGAGCAAUCUUUAAGAUAAAUGAUUAAUUUCCUUCCAGGACAAUCUUAUUUAAGUUAAAGAAAGAAUUGUCUUGCAAUAUUUUAAUUUUGGUUUUAAAAUGUGUGUUAAGUAGAGCUCAGCAAAUGAACAAACAAGUCCAAUACUACAUUCACAAAUCAAAAGUCCUAAGGUGUGAACCAUUUCUUUGUUUUCAGGUAAUAAAUUCUACAAUUGAUCCAUAGGUACAGUAUGAAAUUCAAGUACUGACUGGCUGUAAGCUGCAGCUUUUGUUAAUUUAUUCCAUAUCGCGUAUACGGAUUAGAAAAGCAAUUAGAAAGUAAAUAAGCAAAUAGAAGCCAUGGAUUGUAAAACAAUAACCAGAUGAGUGAGAUGGGCAGCUAUGAUAGUCUAAUCAUAAUGGAAGCAUUCAUCCUCUGCGUUGGUAACUGCACCAUAAGUAAAAUAUGUGGAGAUUGGUCAAUACAACAUUUUAAAAUCAUUUUAAACUUGUAACGAAUCGUUAAGCAUUCUACCCCGACUAUGGCCUACAGUUAAGGGCUGACAAAUUAUACUAUUUCUUUAUUCAAUUCGUAUUUAAACCCAAGGAGCCAGACUUAAGAGUUUGCAACAAAAAAAUCGUAUUCUCUAGGUUCGCACAAACAUGGGGCUCAUGUGGAGUUCAUGUGUCAAUCGGAUGGCAAUAUAAAAUUUCCUAAAAUCACAUAUUUUGCCUAUUAAAAUAAUUCGUUCCAGCCCUAAAUUUUGCAGGACUACUUUGUAUUUCCAGAAUUGUUUAGUUCAGAGUUGUAAACAUCCGGAAAAUUUGCAUGCAAAGCACUCUUUACUUAAAAAUCAAAUCAAUCAUCCAGUGAUUGAACGCUACCGUUGUCUGCAUGUCCGCCAUUUUAGCUGUGUGAACAUGAAAAAAAUUUGUGCUCUGUUGUUUUUUAAAUUAUCCCAUUGUUUUGUGCAUCUAGACCAGCAAACCUAGGCAGGUGGAAGCCUAGUAUAUUAACAAGUGAUGAUAAGUAGAAUGGCAGAUAGCAUACAAUUAAUGCUCAGACUGCAAAUUGGUUGAUGCAUUCUUAUGCUUUUGGUGUUUACUGUCUCUCAGUUCUUUGUCAGAGCACAGCAGAAACAUUUUUGCUUAAUUUAAUGCUAGAGCUUAUGCUAUACUUUACAAUGAAACUCUCAUGUAGGAUCGUGUGUUGACUCAAAAGGAUUGACUGAACUGUUUCACCCUCAGACCCACUAGUUCAGCUAUUAUGAUUUAAGAUAUAUGUGUUUUUACAUCUUUUUCAGCAUUGUGUUCCACAUCAUAACUUUUGUGUUUACUAAAUAUUCCCUUAUUUGAUUUCCCUGAAUCUUAAUUCAAAUAGCAAAACUGUAUAACCCAAGUGUUUGUGUCAAGCACUUGUUGAAACAAGAUUGAAGAUGAGAAGCAUCUCCUAUCUUUGGGUCAAGGAAACAAAGUCAUAAUUUUCGCCUCAUCGCCGUCUUUGUCUUCGCCGUUUUCGCCUUCACCUUCGCCAUCGUUUUAUCGCCGCCUUCGGUUUCGCCAUCGCCUCUGCCUUUGCCUGUGCCAUCGCCUCAUCUCUGUCUUUGCCUGCGCCAUCGCCUUGUUGUCGUCUUCGCGUUUACCUCAUCGCCGUCUUUGCCUUCACCUCAUCGCCGUCUGCGCCUUAUCACCAUCGCCUCAUCGCCGUCUUCGCCUCAUCGCCGUCUUCGCCUUAUCACCAUCGCCUCAUCGCCGUCUUCGCCUUCACCUUCGCCAUCGUUUCGUUGCUGCCUUCGCUUGCGCCGUCAUCUCAUCGCUGUCUUCAACUUCGCCAUCGUCUCAUCUCCGUCCUCAUCGCUGCCUAUAUCUUCGCCUGUGGCCUAAAACGAUGGAGCAAUCGUAUCCAGGAAAAAACUCAUGGCGAUUGAACGACCUAGCCGAGGUGAUUCCCUGGUAUAGUUUUGUGCUGUAUUUUUUAAUGUCGUGUUGUAUAGUUAACCCGUUGGCUGCCACCCCGUUUGCGCCCCAUUUUUUUUGUAGCUUAUAGGGACCGGCCGCGCUGUUCUACCUCAUGGUCUAUAGCCAUGGGGUGGAGCAGUCGCAAUGGCCUCGCCGCAAGGCGCUUUAGGCAAUGCACCAUUAGGGACUUCUCCUUGUCGAUGCGGUGGCGGAUUCCUGAGGGUGUGCAUUCCCUGUAACGGAUUCCGUCACCGUGUCAGCCCGGACUUGUCUUCGGACAAGUCCCCCUUGGUCGGCGAUCCUUCAGACACGAUGCGUAGCUAAUGUAGUUUAAGCAACCUACGGGUUGCGUGGCCUGGCAGCCAACGGGUUAACUAAUUUGUUGUAUGUGUGUGUUUGUGUGUGUUUAUAUGUAUGUAUGAAUACUUGUAUUUAUGUAUUGUUGUAUGUAAAACAGUGGAGGAAUUGAUGGGUGGAGGAGGGACAAUAAAAAAAUUCCAUUUA
This 3139-nucleotide unclassified non-coding RNA is filed under the name Daphnia magna. RNAcentral's name for it is "uncharacterized LOC116924397, transcript variant X4". The record is from RNAcentral. Lineage: Eukaryota; Metazoa; Arthropoda; Branchiopoda; Diplostraca; Daphniidae.